Molecule: ribosomal RNA, 363 nt
Filed under: Candidatus Roizmanbacteria bacterium
Lineage: Bacteria; Candidatus Roizmaniibacteriota
Description: partial 23S ribosomal RNA
Rfam family: Bacterial large subunit ribosomal RNA
Source: RNAcentral
CCCAUCGACGAGACGGUUCGGCACCUCGAUGUCGGCUCACCGUAUCCUGGGGCUGAAGUCGGUCCCAAGGGUCGGGCUGUUCGCCCGUUAAAACGGUACGCGAGCUGGGUUCAGAACGUCGUGAGACAGUUCGGACUCUAUCCUGUGCAAGCGCUUGGAUUCCUGAGGGGGUACCUCGACAGUACGAGAGGACCUCGAGGUGGCAAUCCCUGGUGUACCGGUUGUUUAUCGCAGCGCCGGGUAGCUAUAUUGCCAUCCGAUAAGCACUGAAAGCAUCUCAAGUGCGAAGCGGACCCCAAGAUGAGGAAUCCAUAUUCAGCCUUCCGCAAGACUAGCGGAUUGAUAGGCGCUUAGGUGUAUGCC